AGAGUUUGAUCCUGGCUCAGGACGAACGCUGGCGGCGUGCCUAAUACAUGCAAGUCGAGCGGAGUUUCCGCGGCGGAAGCCUUCGGGCGGAAGACGCGGAGACUUAGCGGCGGACGGGUGAGUAACACGUGGGCAACCUGCCCGGAAGACCGGGAUAACAUCCGGAAACGGAUGCUAAUACCGGAUAGGCGGACUCCUCGCAUGAGGGGAUCGGGAAAGGCGGGGCAACCUGCCGCUUCCGGAUGGGCCUGCGGCGCAUUAGCUAGUAGGUAGGGUAACGGCCUACCUAGGCGACGAUGCGUAGCCGACCUGAGAGGGUGAACGGCCACACUGGGACAGAGACACGGCCCAGACUCCUACGGGAGGCAGCAGUAGGGAAUCUUCCGCAAUGGGCGAAAGCCUGACGGAGCAACGCCGCGUGAGUGAGGAAGGUCUUCGGAUCGUAAAGCUCUGUUGCCAGGGAAGAAGUCUUGGGAGAGUAAC
RNAcentral lists this ribosomal RNA (483 nucleotides) under uncultured bacterium. RNAcentral's name for it is "bacterial SSU rRNA". It matches the Rfam family "Bacterial small subunit ribosomal RNA", at positions 8 to 465 of the family's 1533-position model. The record is from RNAcentral.